GUAAGAGCAAGGAGGGUGGGUGGUUGCUAAUUAAAAAAAAAUGCUAAUGAAAAGGAAAUCCAAGAAAAUAUGAAUAAGAUGGAAGAGAUUAGUUUGUUUGCAAAUUUAAAAGCGAAUGACUUGAAAACAUGGGUAUUGCUGGUAUGCCGUUUGACAUCGUUCUCAAUAGAAGAGAGGAAUUGCAAAAGUAUCUCAAAAAGUACAAAUCAUGAACAAAUUAAUAAAUACAAAUGAAAAAAUAAUUUUUCACAGGGGUAAACAGUAGCCAAAGUAAUAUAAUUCAGAUGAAAAAGAGACUAACCUAAGUGUUUGACAGUGGUGAGUCUCAUUGCCUUUUUGCAUGAAGAGAAGCUUUUUGAGUAUCUGAAGUUGAAUCUUGGAUGUUGACUCCAUCUUUAACAACAUGAUUAUUGGUGUGAGAUGCAUCUGCUUGACUAUAAUAAAGAAAAACUUAACAAUGUAGUGGAAUAAAGGAAACAACUGUCAAGGCUAAAAAAAUAAAAUAAAAUUGACAUGUCUGUUAUAGAAACAUUGUUGUGGAAAAAAGGAAACAUUAGUGAAGAAAGAAAGAAAAUGCAUGUCCAUUAUCCAUGUAAUUCAAAAACAGCAAACCACAUUCAAGAAAUAAAUGGCAAAUCUGUUAAUGGAGUUGGAUUUUUGUGUGGAACCUAUGUUGCGCUCUAAAGUUAUUGAAGUAAAGGGUUUUUUUUUCGCUUCAAGGAUAAAGACAUUACCAAUAUCUAAUGGUUCAGAUAAGGGAGUUUCUAAAGAACCAACAAUUGUGAUUGUGUGUGAGAUGCUUUCUAGGGUAAAUGGGUUGGGCCGUUGUUUCUGUUAAGGUGCAUGAAAAACGAGGCUGCAAGUUAGUAUCAUCAACAAUGUUGUCGUCGAAGAUGUUUGUUAUGAUUAUCUCACAGCGGUUGGUCCCAACUCUAAAAGCACUAAAGCGCAGCUUGAAAGUCCAGUUUCUAUUUAGUUUGGCUACCAUUAGAGGUGUGACGGUGCUGGUGCUUGGGUCAUUUAAUUUCUUGUCAUAAAUGUAGUUGUGUGUAGACAACCUAAAGAAAUUUCUUAUAGUCUUACCAACCAACUUAAAAUCAAUGACAUCUACUCCAUUAGCAACAAGUGACUUUAAACCUUUGUCAAAGAAACAACAACACAACAAAAGUAGUAAAUAAGGAAAGACUAACAAAAAGCAAAUAUACAUGUUUUAUAGGUUUUGAAUGCCUUAAAAGAAGGUAAUAGAAGUGUUAUUACCAUGAUAGAGGUGGUUGGUUGAAGGUGUGGUCAUCUGGACACCUUUUUUUAUUUUUUAACCCUACCUGUGAUUUGGUACAUUCUAGGUAGGCUUCAUUCAUACUACCAUCCUUUAAACAAAUUAUAUUCAACAAUUGAGGCCUGAAAAGUAAACCUCUCAUGCUACAUAAGUGAUGGGAACAUAAUGCAAUGAAAACAUUGGAGUGUAGUAGCAUUGUAAAUAAAUAAAGGAACAAUAAUAAUGUUUUUGUUAUAGAAAGGUACUAAGAAUGUUUAUCUAUGGGGAGAAAAUGUAUCAAGAGAAAUAGAAAGAUAAAUCUUAAAAGACCUUAUGCUAAUAAUUAAGGACUCAUGUAGAGAAUUUCUCUAAUUGUUUUGCGAUUCUCAUUUCUUUGAUCCUCAUCAAGUGUCAUGAAGGUUCAGAAGGAAAAUGGCAGGAGCUGGACCUCUACAGGCAGUGGCAGAUGGAGGGGGGGCUGGCAGGGGCCCCGGCCCCUGCAAGGAAAUGCCCCUCCCUUGUAAAUAUUUAAUAAAAGUAACUGAAAUUUUUUCUUGGCCCUUCUAAUUUAUAAUUUGACCCCCCUAAAUAUUUUUUCUUGCUCCGCCCCUGUCUACAGGUAGUUGCCCAAACCUAAAGUAGUGAGAAAGGAAUGUUUGUUAUAAAUCCGUGUUCUAUAUGAAAAAUAUAAAAAGCAAAAUAAAGACAAAUCGAUGGAUUAAAACAUGGAAAAAUGUUAGCAAUAGAAAAUAAAGGCCGAAGAUAAUGCUCUUACCAGUUAGCAUUCUAGAACCCUUCCUCAUUGUCAGGAUAUGUGCAAAGUCAACAAAGUUGAAAAACUAUCUUGCGAUAGACGGUUUAAGAGGACAUUAGACCUUAGAUCAAUAACAACUUCAUGGUCGACAACUAUGUGUGGGUACUUGUUCUAAGAGGUAUAAAAGCCUCUGGUCUCGAAGUGAUCGCCAUCAAUGAUGUUUGAUCCAAGAUGCUGAAUAUCUCUAGCACGCCCGGAUCCUACAACGGAAGCAAAAACGAAGAAAGAUACAAGUCCAAUUGAUUAAGGUUUUAUUACACAUAAAGUUUGGAAGCUAGUGAAAGAAAAUAUAGCAGAUGAGAGCAAAUGAUUUCAAAAAAGCCGUCGUUCAUAAAUGUCAAGUGAAAAGAGCAAACCUGAGCAUCAACAAAUAAGCAAUUAAAGCUGCUAGGUUGGUCAGGGAUCCAUACACGGCAGGCAUGAACUUCUUGAUGUCCUUAAUCACAAAUGUCAUUGUGCUGCAAAAUAAAAAGAUGCAAGGGAAAGAGAGACAAGAAUAGAGUGAACUAAGAGGGCUAGCUGAAUUUAAAAAGACAGUAAGGCUAUUUUGGCCACUCUUACAAACAAAAAUGAACCAAAUAAGAGACAAUAAAGCUUAAGCAAAAGAUCUAUUGUCCACUUGAAAGAAUUGAUUAUGUUUAAACAUAUGUCAUUCAUUAAUGUAAUUUAUCCAUGAAUGGAAGAUCUUCUGCUAGAAAACAUAUGAGCAGUGUUGUAUAUUUAUUUCCUUAUGAGAGAUUAGAUGAGUAAUUAUAUGUGGAAAGAGACAGUGUAAUAGGUGUUGGACAUGCAUGGAUCUUCACUAUUUAAAGUCUAGAUAUAUGUAAGUGUGAUUGAUUGUGCUUAUAAAGAUGAUGAAUAUACAUAACAGUAGGAGAAUGAAUGAUAUCCAACAGAGGCAGAAUUACGCUAGCAUCUUUCUUUUAGGACUUUAUUUAGGAGACCAUGCAUGGUUGGAGAAUGUAGAAAUCUGCAACUGAAAUCUAUUUCCUUGCUUUGGUCUGGAGUGGCACAAAAUUAUAGACAUGUUUGUUUUAACCAUGGAUCAUGGAUUUGUUGGACUGCUUUGAUAUUUGUG
RNAcentral lists this long non-coding RNA (3147 nucleotides) under Populus trichocarpa (black cottonwood). RNAcentral describes it as "long non-coding RNA (PTRI_LNC001241)". Lineage: Eukaryota; Viridiplantae; Streptophyta; Magnoliopsida; Malpighiales; Salicaceae. The record is from RNAcentral.